GAUGAACGCUGGCGGCGUGCCUAAUACAUGCAAGUCGAGCGAACGGACGAGAAGCUUGCUUCUCUGAUGUUAGCGGCGGACGGGUGAGUAACACGUGGAUAACCUACCUAUAAGACUGGGAUAACUUCGGGAAAACGGAGCUAAUACCGGAUAAUAUUUUGAACCGCAUGGUUCAAAAGUGAAAGACGGUCUUGCUGUCACUUAUAGAUGGAUCCGCGCUGCAUUAGCUAGAUGGUAAGGUAACGGCUUACCAAGGCAACGAUGCAUAGCCGACCUGAGAGGGUGAUCGGCCACACUGGAACUGAGACACGGUCCAGACUCCUACGGGAGGCAGCAGUAGGGAAUCUUCCACAAUAGGCGAAAGCCUGACGGAGCAACGCCGCGUGAGUGAUGAAGGUCUUCGGAUCGUAAAACUCUGUUAUUAGGGAAGAACAUAUGUGUAAGUAACUGUGCACAUCUUGACGUUACCUAAUCAGAAAGCCACGGCUAACUACGUG
RNAcentral lists this ribosomal RNA (497 nucleotides) under uncultured bacterium. RNAcentral's name for it is "partial 16S ribosomal RNA". It matches the Rfam family "Bacterial small subunit ribosomal RNA", at positions 28 to 507 of the family's 1533-position model. The record is from RNAcentral.